RNAcentral lists this ribosomal RNA (253 nucleotides) under uncultured bacterium. RNAcentral's name for it is "partial 16S ribosomal RNA". It matches the Rfam family "Bacterial small subunit ribosomal RNA", at positions 524 to 776 of the family's 1533-position model. The record is from RNAcentral.
GAAGGAGGAGGCAAGCGAUAUCCGGAAUUAUUGGCCGUAAAGGGUACGGAGGCGGCUGGUCAAGUCUGGGGUCAAAGGCCACAGCUCAACUGUGGGAAGGCCCUGGAAACUGGCCGGCUAGAGUGAGGUAGGGGUUGCGGGAAUUCCCGGUGUAGCGGUGAAAUGCGUAGAGAUCGGGAAGAACACCUGAGGCGGAAGCGCGCAACUGGGCCUCCACUGACGCUGAGGUACGAAAGCUAGGGGAGCGAAUGGG